GCCGCCCCGUGUCCUGAAUGGAGCUUGGGGACCUUCCCCCUCGAGGCCGCCUCAGGCCGCCGCCUUCUCUAAAUUUCGACCUUAAAAAUAGGACAGUUGUACCCGCCCACCCAGAGAAGGAGCUGUGUGAGGUCCCCAGUCCCCAGACUGAGGCAGACUGACGCCCAUUAGCACCCUCUCCCUCUGCCCUCUCCGUCUCUCUGUCUCUGUCUCUGUCUGUCUCUGUCUCUCCAUCUCUCUAUCUCUCCAUUUGUCUCAGUUUGUCUCUCUUUUCUCUGUUUCCAUCUCUCUCUCCCUCUCUCUAUCUCUCUCUCCGUCUCUCUCCCCCUGUCUCUCUCCAUUUCUCUCUCCCUCUCUCUCUGUCUCUCUGUUUCUCCAUCUCUCUCUGUGUCUCUCUCCCUCUCUCUGUCCCUCUGCAUUUCUCUCUCCCUCUCUACCCCUGUCUCUCUGUGUCUCUGUCUCCCUUUCUCCCUGCCUCAUCCUCUCUGUCUCUCCCUCUCUCUGUCUCUGUCUCUCCCUCUCUCUCUGUGUCUCUCUCUCCUCCUCUCUGUCUCUCCUUCUCUCUGUCUCUGUCUCUCCCCCUCUCUGUCUCUCUCUCUGUGUCUCUCUCCCCUUCUCUGUCUCUGUCUCUCCCCCUCUCUGUCUCUCCCCCUCUCUGUCUCUCCCUCUCUCUGUCUCUCUCUGUGUCUCUCUCUCCCCUCUCUGUCUCUCCCUCUCUGUCUCUCUCUGUGUUUCUCUGUGUCUCUCUCCCCCUCCCUCUCUCUGUGUCCCUCUAUCCCUCUCUCUCUCUCUCUGUGUCUCUCUCCUUCUGUCUCUCCUCCUCUCUGUCUCUCCUCCUCUCUGUCUCUCCCUCUCUCUCUCUGUGUCUCUCUCUCCACUCUGUCUCUCCUUCUCUCUGUCUCUCCCUCUCUCUGUCUCUGUCUCUCCCCCUCUCUGUCUCUCCCUCUCUGUCUCUCUCUGUGUCUCUCUCCCCCCUCUCUGUCUCUCCCUCUCUGUCUCUUUCUGUUCUGUGUUCCUCUGUGUCUCUCUCCCCCUCCCUCUCUCUGUGUCUCUCUCUCUGUGUCUCUCUCUCUCUGUGUCUCUCUCCUUCUGUCUCUCCUCCUGUCUCUCCCUCUGUCUCUCCCUCUCUGUCUCUCUCUGUGUUCCUCUGUGUCUCUCUCCCCCUCCCUCUCUCUGUGUCUCUCUCUCUGUGUCUCUCUCCUUCUGUCUCUCCUCCUGUCUCUCCCUCUGUCUCUCCUCCUCUCUGUCUCUCCCUCUCUCUCUCUGUGUCUCUCUCUUCCUCUCUGUCUCUCCUUCUCUCUGUCUCUUUCUCUAUCCUCUCUGUCUCUCUCUCUCUCUGUGUCUCUCUCUCUGUGUCUCUCCCCUCUGUCUCUCCCUCUCUGUCUCUGUCUCUCUGUGUCUCUGUCUCUUGCGCACACCCACACACACGCAGCUCACAGAGCCUCCACAU
Molecule: long non-coding RNA, 1450 nt
Filed under: Vulpes vulpes (red fox)
Lineage: Eukaryota; Metazoa; Chordata; Mammalia; Carnivora; Canidae
Description: lncRNA (ENSVVUG00000008697.1)
Source: RNAcentral